AGUGAACGCUGGCGGUAGGCCUAACACAUGCAAGUCGAACGGCAGCACAGUAAGAGCUUGCUCUUACGGGUGGCGAGUGGCGGACGGGUGAGGAAUACAUCGGAAUCUACUUUUUCGUGGGGGAUAACGUAGGGAAACUUACGCUAAUACCGCAUACGACCUACAGGUGAAAGCAGUGGAUCUUCGGACCUUGCGCGAUUGAAUGAGCCGAUGUCGGAUUAGCUAGUUGGCGGGGUAACGGCCCACCAAGGCGACUAUCCGUAGCUGGUCUGAGAGGAUGAUCAGCCACACUGGAACUGAGCCACGGUCCAGACGCCUACGGGAGGCAGCAGUGGGGAAUAUUGGGCAAAGGGCGCAAGCCUGAUCCAGCCAUACCGCGUGGGUGACGAAGGCCUUCGGGUUGUAAAGCCCUUUUGUUGGGAAAGAAAAGCAGCAGGUUAAUACCCCGCUGUUCUGACGGUACCCAAAGAAUAAGCACCGGCUAACUUCGUG
RNAcentral lists this ribosomal RNA (492 nucleotides) under uncultured bacterium. RNAcentral's name for it is "partial 16S ribosomal RNA". It matches the Rfam family "Bacterial small subunit ribosomal RNA", at positions 29 to 507 of the family's 1533-position model. The record is from RNAcentral.